UUUAAGUCUGUAGCCAAGUUACCUGGUUGACGUAGUAGGACUUCUGCAUACCACAACGAUUGAACUCCCCAGAAGGACAUGAUAGAAAUGCAAAUGUAUCAGUCAGCAGGUCAGAGUGUUAAGUUAGAGCUCUAAAUAUGACAAAAAAGAAAGACUUGAAAUGGAAGAAAAUCAGCUAAAAGUCAUAAUUUUAGGCUUAUUAAGUCAUAAAAAAUCACUUGUUUAAUUUUCCAUCUUAUCUCAGCAGCCCAUAAUGAAAAGAUGACAGAUCAAGGGACUCUUAGAGUCUCUUAGCAACGAUGAUAUGAACUGGAAGAACAGAAGAAGAGAGAGAGAGACGGAGAUGACGGCCUUCUCUGCACAGAUAAGAUGCUAUUCUCCCUUCCUGCAAAAUUAGUUCAUUAUAGGAGUGAGAGAGAGUCGUCGCUGAGAUUCAAGGUUUCUCUGCGAUAAAGAGCGGGAGCAACACCUUGCAGAGAAGAAAAAAAAGAAGAAAAUUUUCAUUUCCUGUUCUUCAGAGGAAGCAGCCGUAUCAGCGGAUCAGCAGCAGAGACUCAGGGUUAGGGAGGAAGAAAUGAAGAGACCCAGAGAGGAGCGGGACGCAGCCAGUUAAAGAGUACGACACCACAUCUGUGACGAGCCGUAAUUCACUGGCGUGAGCUGACGAUCGUCCCUUCAUACAAUACUAUGACUGUGUCCGCUCUUCAACACCAGACUGUCGGCUGUAGCUGCUGAUUACUGAUUUCAGCUGCAGGAUUAAUCAGUGAUGACAAGGAGGCAGCGUGUUGUACAGCACAGUAAAUACACACGGACACACAAUCGGACUACACACUGCUACAACAAUUGAUCAGGACGGGUCUUAAUACGGACUGAACAUGGUUUGGACCUCAGUCUGAAUCAGGCUCUGAGGUAUUUCUUAACAAAUCUGACCCAGUCCUGAUCACUCUCAAGUAAAGUCACAGUACUGCUGCUAGAAGACAGUUUCCUGCUUUAAUGAUACGACAGGAAGUAGCUGCUAUUUCAUCCUAUAGUCACCAAAGGUGGAUGUUGUUGUUUUCGCAUAUGUCUACAAAUAUAUAUGUUUUAGAAAAUAUUGAUAUGUUGAUAUAUCAGGAUCUUUCAUUUCAAGAUACCGUAUUAAUAUCCUACAGUACUGUACCGAUCUUUCGAUUUGUAUCUGUAUCAAUCUGUACUGUAUUGAUCGAACAGUCAAAUAUUCAUGGCGUUGGAGCCUGUUUUAGUCCUGCCAUACCCAUCUGUCACUCUGACGACACUCUUCAACAGUCUUAGCCUUCUUUGCUGCAUACAAGCCCUGCACCACCCUCACAUAUUUCAGCCACUCCUAGCUUUAUCACACAGUAAAAAUCAUUUUUAUUUUAUCUAAUGUAAAUGUGCAAUUAAUGGAUUGAAACCAAAACAUUUCAUUGAGAUUUUUUUUAAAUUUUAUUUCCAUAUAUCUUUUCUAUUCCAUAAUAUUUCCAUAUAUAUUCAUUUCUUUAUACUAUACAGGUGUCUCAAUACAGUCUUUAUUGACAUACAUAUAUUUUUUAUGAGCUUAAGAGAUGGGAGGGACAGAGAGACAAGGAGGUUAACUACAAUUUAUAAACUGUUUACAAGACAACAGGAGCUCCAUCACAUUACAGACACACACACACGUCUCUCACACGCACACACACAAGAGAAACUUCACUCACACAUCUGAACAUACACACACACACACACAGGAAGUGAUCACACACUCACACAUCAGUGGCAGGAGUAGACAGGUCUUCACAGGAUAGAUAACAUCAAUACCAGACACACAUCACAUGUAGUUGUACAGUACUCGCCAUAUUUAACUCCUGCUUCCACAGAUGCACGCACACACACACACACACACACACACACACACACACAACACAGUUUUUUGGUAAAAC
This is a long non-coding RNA of Cynoglossus semilaevis (tongue sole), 1916 nucleotides long. RefSeq lists it as uncharacterized. The transcript is spliced from 2 exons. The record is from RefSeq and is a predicted model, not a curated record. NCBI's taxonomy places the organism in Eukaryota, Metazoa, Chordata, Actinopteri, Pleuronectiformes, Cynoglossidae.